UACGGAGGGUGCAAGCGUUAUCCGGAUUCACUGGGUUUAAAGGGUGCGUAGGAGGGUUGGUAAGUCAGUGGUGAAAUCUCCGAGCUUAACUUGGAAACUGCCGUUGAUACUAUCAAUCUUGAAUAUCGUGGAGGUGAGCGGAAUAUGUCAUGUAGCGGUGAAAUGCUUAGAUAUGACAUAGAACACCAAUUGCGAAGGCAGCUUACUAAACAAGCAUUGACGCUGAGGCACGAAAGCGUGGGGAUCAAACAGG
Molecule: ribosomal RNA, 253 nt
Filed under: uncultured bacterium
Lineage: Bacteria
Description: partial 16S ribosomal RNA
Rfam family: Bacterial small subunit ribosomal RNA
Source: RNAcentral